Molecule: ribosomal RNA, 119 nt
Filed under: Idiomarina seosinensis
Lineage: Bacteria; Pseudomonadati; Pseudomonadota; Gammaproteobacteria; Alteromonadales; Idiomarinaceae
Description: partial 23S ribosomal RNA
Rfam family: Bacterial large subunit ribosomal RNA (bases 1-99)
Source: RNAcentral
CUAAAGGGUUGUUGAAGACUACAACGUUGAUAGGCGGGGUGUGGAAGCGUAGUAAUGCGUUGAGCUAACCCGUACUAAUUGCCCGUGAGGCUUAACCAUACAACACCCAAGGUGUUUGG